UGAGUCGACGGUAACGGUCUUCGGACGCUGACAGUGGCGAACGGGUGAGUAAUACAUCGGAACGUGCCCAGUCGUGGGGGAUAACUACUCGAAAGAGUAGCUAAUACCGCAACGAUCUGAGGAUGAAAGCGGGGGACCUUCGGGCCUCGCGCGAUUGGAGCGGCCGAUGGCAGAUUAGGUAGUUGGUGGGAUAAAAGCUUACCAAGCCGACAUCUGUAGCUGGUCUGAGAGGACGACCAGCCACACUGGGACUGAGACACGGCCCAGACCGGGAGGCAGCAGUGGGGAAUUUUGGACAAUGGGCGAAAGCCUGAUCCAGCAAUGCCGCGUGCAGGAUGAAGGCCUUCGGGUUGUAAACUGCUUUUGUACGGAACGAAAAAGCUUCUCCUAAUACGAGAGGCCCAUGACGGUACCGUAAGAAUAAGCACCGGCUAACUACGUGCCAGCAGCCGCGGUAAUACGUAGGGUGCGAGCGUUAAUCGGAAUUACUGGGCGUAAAGCGUGCGCAGGCGGUUAUGUAAGACAGAUGUGAAAUCCCCGGGCUCAACCUGGGAACUGCAUUUGUGACUGCAUGGCUAGAGUACGGUAGAGGGGGAUGGAAUUCCGCGUGUAGCAGUGAAAUGCGUAGAUAUGCGGAGGAACACCGAUGGCGAAGCAAUCCCCUGGACCUGUACUGACGCUCAUGCACGAAAGCGUGGGGAGCAAACAGGAUAGAUACCCUGGUAGUCCACGCCCUAAACGAUGUCAACUGGUUGUUGGGAAUUAGUUUUCUCAGUAACGAACUACGCGUGAAGUUGACGCCGGGGAGUACGCCGCGGUUGAAACUCAAAGGAAUUGACGGGCCACACGGGAGAGUGUUAAUUAUGCCGCAAACCUUACCCACCUUUGACUGGCGGAAUUUCAAAUGGCUGCUCAAAAAAGCCCGGCUGCAUGGUGUCCCUCGCGGUGGUCCACCCUUUGACGGGGCA
RNAcentral lists this ribosomal RNA (968 nucleotides) under Pseudomonas sp. MS8_2E5. RNAcentral's name for it is "bacterial SSU rRNA". It matches the Rfam family "Bacterial small subunit ribosomal RNA", at positions 58 to 1077 of the family's 1533-position model. The record is from RNAcentral. Lineage: Bacteria; Pseudomonadati; Pseudomonadota; Gammaproteobacteria; Pseudomonadales; Pseudomonadaceae.